GACGAACGUUGGCGGCGUGCUUAAUACAUGCAAGUCAACUGAAGCAGUGGUAGCAAUAUCGCUGUGGAGGUGGCGCACGGGUGAGUAACACGUAGGUAAUCUGCCUUCAGGUCUGGCAUAACUCCGGGAAACCGGGGCUAAUAGCAGAUGAUGCAGCGGCUCGACAUCGAGACAGUUGUUAAAGCUAUGGCGCCUGAAGAUGAGCCUGCGUCUGAUUAGCUAGUUGGCGGGGUAACGGCCCACCAAGGCAACGAUCAGUAGCUGGUCUGAGAGGAUGAUGAGCCACACUGGAACUGAGACACGGUCCAGACUCCUACGGGAGGCAGCAGUAAGGAAUAUUGCUCAAUGGGAGAAAUCCUGAAGCAGCAACGCCGCGUGAGGGACGAAGGGCUUUUGCUUGUAAACCUCUGUAGUGAGAGAAAAAAAUCCCAAUCUUUGGGACAUGAUGGUAUCUCAAAAGUAAGCCCCGGCUAACUACGUG
This 481-nucleotide ribosomal RNA is filed under the name uncultured bacterium. RNAcentral's name for it is "partial 16S ribosomal RNA". It matches the Rfam family "Bacterial small subunit ribosomal RNA", at positions 28 to 507 of the family's 1533-position model. The record is from RNAcentral.